RNAcentral lists this ribosomal RNA (500 nucleotides) under uncultured bacterium. RNAcentral's name for it is "partial 16S ribosomal RNA". It matches the Rfam family "Bacterial small subunit ribosomal RNA", at positions 30 to 523 of the family's 1533-position model. The record is from RNAcentral.
AUUGAACGCUGGCGGCAGGCCUAACACAUGCAAGUCGAGCGGAUGAGUGGAGCUUGCUCCAUGAUUCAGCGGCGGACGGGUGAGUAAUGCCUAGGAAUCUGCCUGGUAGUGGGGGACAACGUUUCGAAAGGAACGCUAAUACCGCAUACGUCCUACGGGAGAAAGUGGGGGAUCUUCGGACCUCACGCUAUCAGAUGAGCCUAGGUCGGGUUAGCUAGUUGGUGAGGUAAAGGCUCACCAAGGCGACGAUCCGUAACUGGUCUGAGAGGAUGAUCAGUCAGACUGGAACUGAGACACGGUCCAGACUCCUACGGGGGGAAGCAGUGGGGAAUAUUGGACAAUGGGCGAAAGCCUGAUCCAGCCAUGCCGCGUGUGUGAAGAAGGUCUUCGGAUUGUAAAGCACUUUAAGUUGGGAGGAAGGGCAGUAAGUUAAUACCUUGCUGUUUUGACGUUACCAACAGAAUAAGCACCGGCUAACUUCGUGCCAGCAGCCGCCGUAA